CAAAGAAAUGGGCGCUCAACACUCCUCAUUUCCCAAAACUUCCAGAACCCCCUUCAAGUAAAUAUGAAAACCCACUUUCGUUUUCAAUGUAAUUGAAGAACACAAAUCUGUAAUUUUAUUCAACAAAUUCAUUCUCCUAUUUUCUCAUAGUCAUUCAUAGAUUAUAAAAGCUUAGAAUCCUAUGCUCUCCCAGUUCAGAUAGCUCUCCAAAACCUCUUAAAUCCGACUUUCUCUCUUUGAAUUUUAACUCGACCUCUCGCAAAUUCUAUGGAAGCUAAUUCUGUUAACUUUAGACGAAAUCGUCUCCACCUCUAAUGGUUGCGGCGCCGCUGAUCUCUUACGCUGGCCCCUUUCUCAGGAUGUUCUCAAUCUCCCGGAGCUGCUAAAUUCUAUUCCGAUGCGUUGGGUUUCACCGCCGAUGUCUGCUCUCCUUGUUCGGUCGAACUUCACUCCCACUCCUUCGAGCAGUUGUCGCCAGUGGAGUCUUCUCUCCAUUUGUGGUUCAUGGAAUGCAAGUGAAGGCCUGGGAGCCGAAAUCCGAGAUGCAGGCUCUAGUGUCUCAAAAACACGUAGAAGGUCUCAACUUUACGGGAUGGAUCCCUGUGGUGAAGUAAGAAAAUAUUUAUAUCUACAGGUCCCCUUCAAGAUUUAAAUAUGCUAGACAAGGAAUAAUUACUACUUUUUAUCUUGACUAAUGUAAAUUGUGAUAUGUAACCUUUGGGGUUUGAUACAAGUAUGGCUUUAUAAGCACUCUAAAUACCAUUUUGUAAAUUUCCAAACUAUUGGAGAACAAUGUAAAUAUCUAUGGAUCUUUUUAAUAAAAAUUAAAUUUUAUCAUCA
Long non-coding RNA from Spinacia oleracea (spinach), 840 nucleotides. RefSeq lists it as uncharacterized. NCBI's taxonomy places the organism in Eukaryota, Viridiplantae, Streptophyta, Magnoliopsida, Caryophyllales, Amaranthaceae. The record is from RefSeq and is a predicted model, not a curated record. The transcript is spliced from 4 exons.